Molecule: ribosomal RNA, 1252 nt
Filed under: uncultured Gammaproteobacteria bacterium
Lineage: Bacteria; Pseudomonadati; Pseudomonadota; Gammaproteobacteria
Description: bacterial SSU rRNA
Rfam family: Bacterial small subunit ribosomal RNA
Source: RNAcentral
UACCGCAUAAAGUUGAGAGACCAAAGCAUGGGACCUACGGGCCAUGCGCCAUUUGAUGAACCCAUAUGGGAUUAGCUAGUUGGUGGGGUAAUGGCUCACCAAGGCGACGAUCUCUAGCUGGUCUGAGAGGAUGACCAGCCACACUGGAACUGAGACACGGUCCAGACUCCUACGGGAGGCAGCAGUGGGGAAUAUUGCACAAUGGGGGGAACCCUGAUGCAGCCAUGCCGCGUGUAUGAAGAAGGCCUUCGGGUUGUAAAGUACUUUCGGUGAUGAGGAAGGURAUGAAUCUAAUAGGUUUAUUAAUUGACGUUAAUCACAGAAGAAGCACCGGCUAACUCCGUGCCAGCAGCCGCGGUAAUACGGAGGGUGCGAGCGUUAAUCGGAAUGACUGGGCGUAAAGGGCAUGUAGGCGGAUAAUUAAGUUAGGUGUGAAAGCCCUGGGCUCAACCUAGGAAUUGCACUUAAAACUGGUUAACUAGAGUAUUGUAGAGGAAGGUAGAAUUCCACGUGUAGCGGUGAAAUGCGUAGAGAUGUGGAGGAAUACCGGUGGCGAAGGCGGCCUUCUGGACAGAUACUGACGCUGAGAUGCGAAAGCGUGGGGAGCAAACAGGAUUAGAUACCCUGGUAGUCCACGCUGUAAACGAUGUCGAUUUGGAGUUUGUUGCCUAGAGUGAUGGGCUCCGAAGCUAACGCGAUAAAUCGACCGCCUGGGGAGUACGGCCGCAAGGUUAAAACUCAAAUGAAUUGACGGGGGCCCGCACAAGCGGUGGAGCAUGUGGUUUAAUUCGAUGCAACGCGAAGAACCUUACCUGGUCUUGACAUCCACAGAAUCUUGUAGAGAUACGAGAGUGCCUUCGGGAACUGUGAGACAGGUGCUGCAUGGCUGUCGUCAGCUCGUGUUGUGAAAUGUUGGGUUAAGUCCCGCAACGAGCGCAACCCUUAUCCUUUGUUGCCAUCGAUUCGGUCGGGAACUCAAAGGAGACUGCCGUUGAUAAAGCGGAGGAAGGUGGGGACGACGUCAAGUCAUCAUGGCCCUUACGACCAGGGCUACACACGUGCUACAAUGGCGUAUACAAAGGGAGGCGACCUCGCGAGAGUAAGCGGACCUCACAAAGUACGUCUAAGUCCGGAUUGGAGUCUGCAACUCGACUCCAUGAAGUCGGAAUCGCUAGUAAUCGUGAAUCAGAAUGUCACGGUGAAUACGUUCCCGGGCCUUGUACACACCGCCCGUCACACCAUGGGAGUGGGU